This 452-nucleotide non-coding RNA is filed under the name Chelonia mydas (Green sea turtle). RNAcentral describes it as "Eukaryotic large subunit ribosomal RNA". It matches the Rfam family "Eukaryotic large subunit ribosomal RNA", at positions 24 to 463 of the family's 3401-position model. Lineage: Eukaryota; Metazoa; Chordata; Testudines; Cheloniidae. The record is from Rfam by way of RNAcentral.
CUUGCUGAAAUUAAGCAUGUUAGUCAGCAGAGGAAAAAAAACUAAUUAGGAUUCCUGCAGUAAUGGCGAGUGAACAGGGAAGAGCCCAGUGAUGAAUCCCCGUCCUGCGGUGGGGCACGGGAAAUGUGGCAUACAGAAGACCCAAUCCCUGGUGCCGUUCUUGGGUACUGAAGUCCUUCUGAUCAAGGCACAGCCUGCAGGCGGUGUGAGGCCGGUAGUGGCCCCAGCGUGCCGGGACCGGGUCUUCUUGGAGUCAGGUUCCUGGGGAAUGCAGCCCAAAUCAGGUGGUAAAUUCCAUCUAAGGCUAAUUACUGUCACGAGACCGAUAGUCAACAAGUACCAUAAGGGAAAGUUGAAAAGAACUUUGAAGAUAGAGUUCAAGAAGGCGUGAAACCAUGAAGAGGUAAAUGGGUGGGAUCCACGCAGUCUGCCUGGAGGAUUAAACCUGGCGG